This 101-nucleotide small nuclear RNA is filed under the name Meriones unguiculatus (Mongolian gerbil). The record is from RNAcentral. Lineage: Eukaryota; Metazoa; Chordata; Mammalia; Rodentia; Muridae.
CAGCACAAUCCUGAAAUACUGAAGUUAGAACGAUAUGGAGAAGAUUACUGUGGCUCCUGUGCAACAAUGAUACACAAAUUCAUAAAGCCUUCCACAUUUAA